This is an RNA transcript of Brassica napus (rape), 1758 nucleotides long. RefSeq lists it as uncharacterized. The record is from RefSeq and is a predicted model, not a curated record. NCBI's taxonomy places the organism in Eukaryota, Viridiplantae, Streptophyta, Magnoliopsida, Brassicales, Brassicaceae. The transcript has 5 exons.
CGCCUUUCCAGUGUCUCGCCAGAUCUGGGUUUCUCUCGCCAAACCUUCGGCUACCAUUCUCCCAAAAGCCUCCCCGUAACGCUUAAUUUAUGGUUACCUUACUCUCAUCUCCACUUCAAUACAUUCUCAGUUUAAAUCUGUUCCAAUUCUCUUUUUGAAGGCGUUCAAUUUAUCACCAAACUGAAGCUAAAAAAAUGGGGAUUUCCCAAUUAUACAUUUCCGACUUCGAGAUUGGUCGUUUUGAGGACGUGGUGGUGACACGUCUUCUUCAAUUCUGGGAGUCGGUACUCUGAAGAAAGGAGGCGAGGUUAUUGUUGGUGAACAUAGUAUUGCUUGACAAGAAGUCGACGAUGAUACAAGGUACCAUCACCGCACAUCGGCUCUACAGUUUUAAAAAUCUACUGAGUGAAGGCACUGUCUACAAGCUUAGUGUGUUCUAUGUUGCUAGAAGCAAUAAUCACUUCAAACUGUGCGCCUCUUCUGUCUGUAUUUGAUUUACCGAGCAUACCAGCUUUGUCGAGGUUGUCGAUCCAACGGCUGAAAAAAAAUCAGGUUUUGCAAGUAUGAGCAGCUAAUGGCUCUCGCUAACACCAACGUAGAUUUGCCCGAUAUUUUUGGUCAGGAUAGGAGUAUACAAACCAUCUACAAUGACGAAAACGAGUCGAUACAGAGUGUUAUGGUCACAAUCCAGCUGGACAGGUCAACCACUGUGUGUCGUGUGUUUGAUAAGGUUGCAUGACAAGUUAGUACUCUUGGAUGUGGAGACAAAAGGUCGCUUAGUCCUAAACGUCACAUUAGGGACACAGUUCUACUUUUAUCAUGAAAGCCAAGCCACUCAGUGUUUCUUAAAAGAGUCUGUUAUAUCUUUCUACAAUUAGUUACUACUUCACGAUUAUUACGGCGUUAGUUCCCACAUUAAACAUACCAGAUGCAGGCUCUGCAGAGCAGAGAGUGGUUCCUCUGGUAUAUCUUCCAAAAUAUGGUGGUGUUAAGAAACUUGAAUCUGUCAGACUCACUAAACUUAAUAUCUACGUUCUGAAUUCACCCCUACAGGUACGUUCACUGAAUAAGGAUCACUGUUAUUAUUGCAUUUAGCUCAGUUCUCAUGUGUACUGUCACAACAUGACCAAUUUACAUAUGUUGUUAUUUUUUUGUUGUCUCUCCUUUUUCAUACUACGCACAACUAACCAAUCAAAAUGUCUCUCACUUGAAAAUAAGAGACUUUUUUGCUGCAUACUUUCUGCGUUUGCUCAUUUAUCUAGGCUUCACAUUUGAAAAAAAAUAUUGUCAGCAACUGUGGAGUUUCUAAUAUAGCACCACACAAGUGAUGAUAUGUCUGUAGCUGUUAAACUUUCUAUGGUCCCAAAUCCAGUGGUGAAAAGCAGUUGUUCGUAUCACACAAACGGGCCAGAUGAUGUUCCAAUUAUUGAAGGAUGUCCAGCCAGCACUGACCCAGAGCCUGCACAUACUGAUUCAAUCCUGACCUCCACCUAGACUCCCAUUGAUGAUGAAAAGGCCCCCAGUUCAAAGUAAGCUCGAAAUACUGAUCACUCCAACUAUGGAGACUUGGAAUUUGCAAAAUUCAAUUCAAUUGUUUGUUUCAAAAUUUUAUGUUUUUCUUCAAUAAUGUUGUAAUCCACGUACUUUUACUUAGUACCAAAGUGUUUUUAUUUACUUAUCUUUGGUACAAUGCCAUUGAAAUAGUUGAGUUUAUUAUGAGCAUUAUUUAAUUUGAAUUAUUUUUAAAUUAGUGGACGU